Long non-coding RNA from Amphiprion ocellaris (clown anemonefish), 1241 nucleotides. RefSeq lists it as uncharacterized. The record is from RefSeq and is a predicted model, not a curated record. The transcript has 2 exons. NCBI's taxonomy places the organism in Eukaryota, Metazoa, Chordata, Actinopteri, Pomacentridae.
UUGCGUAUGGAGGACUAAAAGUGCCAAAAUUAAAUAAAUAAAUACAUCAUUAAAUAAUUAAUUAAAUAUGUCAUUAAUUAAUUAAAAUUGGAAUUAAAUAUUUCAUUAAUUAAUUAAAAUUGGAAUUAAAUAUGUCAUUAAUUAAUUAAAAUUGGAAUUAAAUACUUAAAUGUGUUAUUAAAUAAAUAUAUCAUUAAAUAAUUAAAUAUGUCAUUAAUUAGUUAAAAUUGGAAUUAAAUAUGUCAUUAAUUAAUUAAAAUUGGAAUUAAAUACAUAAAUGUGUUAUUAAAUAUGUCAUUAAUUUAUUAAAAUAACAAUUAUUUUAAGUAAAAAACAUAUUUCAUUAUUUCACGAUUUAAUUAAUUAUUUCAUGGUCCUUGUGUUGCAGUGGAUCAUGAAUUAAUUUUAUCUGUCAACCUCGCCCGUCAAAGUCGGUGGGCGGAUCCUAACACCUGAUUGGUUACCCUGCACAUCAAGUCAAGGCAAAUCGAUUCCAGAUAAUGGAUUGACGCAGAGCUUGUGAACACAUUCCGAUACACUGGGUGGCGCUAUUCACCUCUACGUUGGUUUGGAUACUCAAUAAAACAAAACUUUAUUAGCAACCGCUAAAGACUCGGUCCUCUUUCCCAAAUGUUGAUACAUGCGGUGCAAGACAAAUUUUCCUUUAGCAUUUCCUUUAGCAUCUACUCGGCGCGCCACGGCUCGUCUCGGUUUAGUUGUUUUUCCAUUACAUUGAGUACCACCUCAUCGUGGGUUGAGUCGUCAUAGCACGGUGGCCCGAAAGUCCCUUACCGUCAUUUUUGUGCGACACAAACGCAAUGCAACAAUGUACAUGGAGGCGAUAGUACACCUGCUGCUCGGUCUGUGGCUUUCUGUCAGAUUCAGAGUAACAGAAGAGUCGGAGAAAGCUGAGAGCGGCGAGUCGAAACACUCAGGAGACACACAGGAGAGUUUGGGAGGCGAUACAGCAGUAUCAAGCUGAAGACAAGAGGAUAUGAACGAGACGACAUAUAAGGAUGCUCUCUGAUGAGACUUCAUGGGAUUUACCUGAAGCAGCAGCACAUGAGCCUGCAGUGGCACAAGGUGUAGAGGAGGAGGGCAGAGAUGUACAGGAUGCACUGAUGCACUACGUGUCAUGCAAAAGUUAAAAGUUGUUCUUCUUGUUAUACUUCUGUUUUUCUGUCCCCGGACCGCUAUUGUUUUCUUUAAUGCAAUUCUGACAAUAAACUUUUGUAGAUGUG